This 274-nucleotide ribosomal RNA is filed under the name uncultured bacterium. RNAcentral describes it as "partial 16S ribosomal RNA". It matches the Rfam family "Bacterial small subunit ribosomal RNA", at positions 523 to 796 of the family's 1533-position model. The record is from RNAcentral.
AUACGGAGGGUGCAAGCGUUACUCGGAAUCACUGGGCGUAAAGCGCGCGCAGGCGGGCUGAUAAGUUGGAUGUGAAAGCCUACGGCUCAACCGUAGAACUGCAUCCAAAACUGUCAGUCUAGAGUCUGGGAGGGGAAGAUGGAAUUAGUUGUGUAGGGGUAAAAUCCGUAGAGAUAACUAGGAAUACCAAAAGCUAAGGCGAUCUUCUGGAACAGUACUGACGCUGAGGCGCGAAAGCGUGGGGAGCAAACAGGAUUAGAAACCCCAGUAGUCC